AGAAACAGUGUUAUUUUCAGCAUCAACAGAUUGCUGCACUAUAAAUGAGAGACCUUGAGUAAUUUGUAUUGCAUAUGACAGCGAAAAACCCACUAAGCCCGGGUUGGGACUACCUUUAAUUGCAGAAAGGAUUCCAUAAAAUGCUGUACAAAAAAUGAUUAAGUCUCCAAUGCAUUCCACUCGAAUAGCUUGCCAUCUACUGGAACUGAAAAACAUGAACCAUACACGAUGAUUGGUAUCAAUUCGUAGGUCAUUUUCUUCAACGAAAGUCUCUUGCAUACCGUACGCUCGGAUUGUUGAUAAACCGCUUAAUGAUUCUUGAACAUGUGCGUAUAAAGGACUUCUGGUGACAUUAUCUAGUCUUUUUAAUUCACGUGAAGUUCGCACAUAGUAAGCCCUAUUAUAAAGAUACAGAAAAAACAGAGGAACUAUCAGAAGUAAAGAUAAUGGUGCAGAAUAGCAGAUAACUCCCAAAAUGAAGAGCACUUGAAUUGAAUUUCGAAAGAAAAACAUAAAUGUCAACGAAACUACUUCAUCAACUUUGUAUACAUCGUUCGAAAAUCGGUUUAAGAUUCUUCCACUAGACGUGGUUUCAAAAAAGCCCAUCGGAGCACGCAAAAUCGUCUUAAGCAUUGAAUCAUGCAAAUAUCGACCGCUUCGUAUACCGCACAACACCGUCAUAGUCAAGCUACUACUUGAAAUGAAAGCACAUGAUAAAAAUCCAAAAAAUAAAUAAAUUCCAAGAUAGAAAUAAGGGCUAGGGUUAAGUUCUGAACUUGAUUUUCCAUUUUCUUCACUCCAAUGUUUCAACCAAACAUUGGUUGCGACGUUCAUCAUUAUACCACUUAUUAUGAAGAAGAAGUAUAGUAAAAUUAAGCCGAUGGAACAUGAUUUAAAAUACAUCCAAUAUACAUGCCAUUUAACCUUACCGCGUUGAACAAGUUCAUCAGUUUGAGCAACACACUUUCCCUUAUCAUCUUCUGUCACUUUUUGGCGGAUCGGAUUUCUCUUUCUAGAUUUAUACUUAUUAGAACUAUCUUUUCUUUCACUUGAAGAAUACGUUUCUAAGCCUUCGACAUGAAUUGAAGGAGCCAAAGAAAUUUGAGUACUUGGAUACGAUGUAGUAUGUUCGGGUAAAGGCUGCGUGUCCUUCUCAUCGUUGAACUCCGAUAGUUGUUGUUUUAGCUCAGAAUUUGUCGAGACAAAUAAGUGCUCAUAGUUUCCUUUUUCAACAAUUUUUCCAUUGCUUAAUAUAUAAAUUGAGUCUGCUUCUUUAAGCACAUUUAAAGAAUUUGUUGUAAGAACAACACAGUGCGUCCUCAAGAAACCUUCUGGACCAAAAAGAUUUUUAAUUAAAUCUCUGCUUACAUGCUGAUCUACGGAAGACAAAACAUCAUCGAGAAGAUAGAUGUCUGCUUGAGAAUAUAUUGCACGAGCAAGUGAGAUUCUCGACUUUUGACCCCCCGACAGCGAUGCACCUUUUUGGCCGACUUCCGUUUGAUCCCCUUCAGUAAAUAUUUCAAAAUCACGUUUCAAGCAGCAUGCAUGAAUGGUUUUCUCAUACAAUUCAGGAUCAAAUUCAGAUCCGAAGAGAAUGUUUUCCCGGAUAGUUGCAUCAAAGAUCCAUGGUUGCUGAGCUGCAUAAGCUAGUGAACCACAUUGGAAAACAGAACCUGAAUUUUUAUACAUAUUCCCCAUACAUGCUUCUAGCAAAGAAGACUUACCCGCUCCAACUUUGCCAAAUAUGCAAGUCAGCUCACCAUUUUUUGCGACAAAAUUAAUUUGACGUAAAGUUGGCGUUACUUGUUGCUUUAGUGUUUUUUUAGACCAACUGAAGGUGCCACUUUUAAUUUCAAGACAAAUUUCAUGAGGAAUCUCUGUAGCGGGAAAUCGUUGUACCCCAUUGUAAUCCAAUUCUUGUGCUAUGAGAAAUUCAUAUAUUCGAGAAACGGAUACAGAUGCUUCCAACAAAGAACUAAUUACUGUGGGUAACAUGGCCAAUGGGAAUUGCAACAGGUUGAAAAGACUUACAGCAGGAAAUACUAUAUCCGCAGUGAGAGCUUGAGUUUUCCCAUGGAAAAUAAUAAAGGCUCCAAAAGCAACAGUUGUAACAAUAAUGGUAGUAAAAAUCCAGGCAAAAUCACCAAUUGCAGUGAUGAAACCAAUUUUUUUUAACAUACUUAAUUCUUUAGUAUUUCUUAUAUGCAGUAGCUUCUGAAGGAAUGGGGUUUCCCAUGCAUAAAGUUUAAUACUGCGUAUAUUAUUGAUAAUUUCGGUCAUCAAUUUGGAACGGGAAUCUUUGUUUUUCAUUAAAAUACUUUGAAACUUCUUGUACACAUUGGCGACAAUAAUGUUGCAUGGAAAUAGUAUAACGGAUGCAGCGACACCCGUAAAAGCGCUAUAUCCCAUAAGGUGGUAUAAAUUUGAAAGAGCUAAAGCAAUUUGAAAUGGACCUGAAACAAUAAUGAAUAAAUAUAUCGGCAGAUCACUUAUUUUUUGAGUAUCGACAGCCAUGUAAUUUAUUAUAUCACCAAUAGAUCGAUUUUGGCGUGCUGAACUUGAUAGAAGAAGAGAUUUACGAUAAAUAGAUGCAAGUAGUUCCGUUUUCCAUCUCAUUCCAAG
Schizosaccharomyces pombe (fission yeast) is the source of this 2622-nucleotide non-coding RNA. NCBI's taxonomy places the organism in Eukaryota, Fungi, Ascomycota, Schizosaccharomycetes, Schizosaccharomycetales, Schizosaccharomycetaceae. The record is from the annotation of a GenBank genome assembly.